This 433-nucleotide ribosomal RNA is filed under the name uncultured bacterium. Its description in RNAcentral is "partial 16S ribosomal RNA". It matches the Rfam family "Bacterial small subunit ribosomal RNA", at positions 29 to 507 of the family's 1533-position model. The record is from RNAcentral.
AACGAACGCUGGCGGCAUGCCUAACACAUGCAAGUCGAACGAGGCCUUCGGGUCUAGUGGCGCACGGGUGCGUAACGCGUGGGAACCUGCCCUUAGGUUCGGAAUAACUCCCCGAAAGGGGUGCUAAUACCGGAUAAUGUCUUCGGACCAAAGAUUUAUCGCCUUUGGAUGGGCCCGCGUUUGAUUAGCUAGUUGGUAGGGUAAAAGCCUACCAAGGCGACGAUCCAUAGCUGGUAUGAGAGGAUGAUCAGCCACACUGGGACUGAGACACGGCCCAGACUACUACGGGAGGCAGCAGUGGGGAAUAUUGGACAAUGGGCGAAAGCCUGAACCAGCAAUGCCGCGUGAGUGAUGAAGGCCUUAGGGUUGUAAAGCUCUUUUACCCGGGAUGAUAAUGACAGUACCGGGAGAAUAAGCUCCGGCUAACUCCGUG